UAGAAAGGGGCGAAAGUUAGGAGAAAAACAAAAAAGAGAAGAACAACAGAAGUAGAAAAUAAUAAGAUGAAGAAUAUUUAGGAUUUAGGAGUAACAACUAUAUAUAAUCUGAGAGUGGUAAACGAAGAGAAGGGAUCGAGCUUUUGAGUUGUUUAUCCAUCGUGAUCAGGAAUAAGAUAUGAGUGAAGUAUUUGGUUGA
Non-coding RNA from Salvia hispanica, 199 nucleotides. NCBI's taxonomy places the organism in Eukaryota, Viridiplantae, Streptophyta, Magnoliopsida, Lamiales, Lamiaceae. The record is from RefSeq and is a predicted model, not a curated record.